Molecule: ribosomal RNA, 454 nt
Filed under: uncultured bacterium
Lineage: Bacteria
Description: partial 16S ribosomal RNA
Rfam family: Bacterial small subunit ribosomal RNA
Source: RNAcentral
GAUGAACGCUGACAGAAUGCUUAACACAUGCAAGUCAACUUGAACUUCGGUUUGGGUGGCGGACGGGUGAGUAACGCGUAAAGAACUUGCCUCACAGCUAGGGACAACAUUUGGAAACGAAUGCUAAUACCUGAUAUUAUGAUUAUAUGGCAUCGUAUAAUUAUGAAAGCUAUAUGCGCUGUGAGAGAGCUUUGCGUCCCAUUAGCUAGUUGGAGAGGUAACAGCUCACCAAGGCGAUGAUGGGUAGCCGGCCUGAGAGGGUGAUCGGCCACAAGGGGACUGAGACACGGCCCUUACUCCUACGGGAGGCAGCAGUGAGGAAUAUUGGACAAUGGACCGAGAGUCUGAUCCAGCAAUUCUGUGUGCACGAUGAAGUUUUUCGGAAUGUAAAGUGCUUUCAGUUGGGAAGAAAAAAAUGACGGUACCAACAGAAGAAGUGACGGCUAAAUACGUG